UUUAUACGCCCGUAUAAAAUACGGGACGUAUUAUGUGAAACCCCUUGGCGGGCGGGCGGGCGGCGGGCGGAAGGCAUCACUUUGUCCGGACUCUAAUUCAAAUUGUAUUCAUCCGAUCUUCACCAAACUUGGUCAGCAGUUGCAUCUAGUUGAUAUCUAGGCCAAGUUCGAAUAUGGGUCAUGCCGGGUCAAAAACUAGGUCAUAGGGUCAAUUAGUGCAUUUUCAACGGCGCCACUUUGUCCGGACUCUAAUUCAAAUUGUAUUCAUCCGAUCUUCACCAAACUUGGUCAGUAGUUGCAUCUAGUUGAUAUCUAGGCCAAGUUCGAAUAUGGGUCAUGCCGGGUCAAAAACUAGGUCAUAGGGUCAAUAAGUGCAUUUUCAAAGGGGCCACUUUGUCCGGACUCUAUUUCAAAUUGUAUUCAUCCGAUCUUCACCAAACUUGGUCAGCAGUUGCAUCUAGUUGAUAUCUAGGCCAAGUUCGAAUAUGGGUCAUGCCGGGUCAAAAACUAGGUCAUAGGGUCAAUAAGUGCAUUUUCAAAGGGGCCACUUUGUCCGGACUCUAUUUCAAAUUGUAUUCAUCCGAUCUUCACCAAACUUGGUCAGCAGUUGCAUCUAGUUGAUAUCUAGGCCAAGUUCGAAUAUGGGUCAUGCCGGGUCAAAAACUAGGUCAUAGGGUCAAUAAGUGCAUUUUCAAAGGGGCCACUUUGUCCGGACUCUAUUUCAAAUUGUAUUCAUCCGAUCUUCACCAAACUUGGUCAGCAGUUGCAUCUAGUUGAUAUCUAGGCCAAGUUCGAAUAUGGGUCAUGCCAGGUCAAAAACUAGGUCAUAGGGUCAAUAAGUGCAUUUUCAAAGGGGCCACUUUGUCCGGACUCUAUUUCAAAUUGUAUUCAUCCGAUCUUCACCAAACUUGGUCAGCAGUUGCAUCUAGUUGAUAUAUAGGCCAAGUUCGAAUAUGGGUCAUGCCGGGUCAAAAACUAGGUCAUAGGGUCAAUUAGUGCAUUUUCAACGGCGCCACUUUGUCCGGACUCUAAUUCAAAUUGUAUUCAUCCGAUCUUCACCAAAUUUGGUCAGAAGUUGUGUCUAGAUGAUAUGUAGGUCAAGUUCAAAUAUGGGUCAUGCCGGGUCAAAAACUAGGUCAC
Dreissena polymorpha is the source of this 1140-nucleotide long non-coding RNA. RefSeq lists it as uncharacterized. The record is from RefSeq and is a predicted model, not a curated record. The transcript is spliced from 3 exons. NCBI's taxonomy places the organism in Eukaryota, Metazoa, Mollusca, Bivalvia, Myida, Dreissenidae.